UGGGGAAUUUUGCACAAUGGGCGAAAGCCUGAUGCAGCAACGCCGUGUGUGUGAUGAAGGUCUUCGGAUUGUAAAGCACUUUCGACCGGGACGAAAAACCCUGAGCUAACAUCUCAGGGCCUGACGGUACCGGGAGAAGAAGCACCGGCUAACUCUGUGCCAGCAGCCGCGGUAAUAAUCGAAUU
RNAcentral lists this ribosomal RNA (185 nucleotides) under uncultured delta proteobacterium. RNAcentral's name for it is "partial 16S ribosomal RNA". It matches the Rfam family "Bacterial small subunit ribosomal RNA", at positions 355 to 531 of the family's 1533-position model. The record is from RNAcentral. Lineage: Bacteria; Deltaproteobacteria.